AGAGUUUGAUCCUGGCUCAGGACGAACGCUGGCGGCGUGCUUAACACAUGCAAGUCGAGCGACAGCGUCCCUUUCGGGGGGCGUAUGGAGCGGCGAACGGGUGAGUAACACGUGAGCAACCUGCCCUUGACUUUGGGAUAACCCUCGGAAACGGGGGCUAAUACCGGAUAGGACAUUGGCCCGCAUGGGUUGGUGUGGAAAGUUUUUCGGUCAAGGAUGGGCUCGCGGCCUAUCAGCUUGUUGGUGGGGUAAUGGCCUACCAAGGCGACGACGGGUAGCCGGCCUGAGAGGGGGCCCGGCCACACUGGGACUGAGACCCGGCCCAGACUCCUACGGGAGGCAGCAGUGGGGAAUAUUGCACCAUGGGCGAAAGCCUGAUGCAGCGACGCCGCGUGAGGGAUGACGGCCUUCGGGUUGUAAACCUCUUUCGACAGGGACGAAGCGCAAGUGACGGUACCUGGAGAAGAAGCACCGGCCAACUACGUGCCAGCAGCCGCGGUAAGACGUAGGGUGCAAGCGUUGUCCGGAUUUAUUGGGCGUAAAGAGCUCGUAGGCGGCUCGUUGCGUCAGCUGUGAAAACCCACGGCUUAACCGUGGGCUUGCAGCUGAUACGGGCGGGCUGGAGUUCGGUAGGGGAGACUGGAAUUCCUGGUGUAGCGGUGAAAUGCGCAGAUAUCAGGAGGAACACCGGUGGCGAAGGCGGGUCUCUGGGCCGAUACUGACGCUGAGGAGCGAAAGCGUGGGGAGCGAACAGGAUUAGAUACCCUGGUAGUCCACGCUGUAAACGUUGGGCGCUAGGUGUGGGGGGCCUCUCCGGUUUCCUGUGCCGUAGCUAACGCAUUAAGCGCCCCGCCUGGGGAGUACGGCCGCAAGGCUAAAACUCAAAGGAAUUGACGGGGGCCCGCACAAGCGGCGGAGCAUGCGGAUUAAUUCGAUGCAACGCGAAGAACCUUACCUGGGUUUGACAUGGGCGGAAAUCCGGCAGAGACGUCGGGUCCUUCGGGGCCGUUCACAGGUGGUGCAUGGC
RNAcentral lists this ribosomal RNA (1027 nucleotides) under groundwater metagenome. Its description in RNAcentral is "bacterial SSU rRNA". It matches the Rfam family "Bacterial small subunit ribosomal RNA", at positions 8 to 1049 of the family's 1533-position model. The record is from RNAcentral.